Molecule: long non-coding RNA, 1613 nt
Filed under: Salmo salar (Atlantic salmon)
Lineage: Eukaryota; Metazoa; Chordata; Actinopteri; Salmoniformes; Salmonidae
Description: lncRNA (ENSSSAG00000111917.1, ENSSSAG00020074835.1)
Source: RNAcentral
CUUGGCUGGCUGUCUCCCAGACGUCACGUCAGGGUCUGUCUCCCUCCUCUCAGGCCUGGUGUGUCUGUCCACUGAUAUCCGACAGCUCUAUUUGAAUUGUGAACAGACACAGUGCUGCUCCUCCUCUCCUCUCCUGUAGAUGAUUGAGUGAAAAGAAGGGCCACAUACCCUACUUUCCUUUUCCAGCUCAUCACCCUCCGAGAUUCAACACGGGUUUAUUUUGGUCAGAUGGCUUCUGGUAGUUCAGCUCUCCGCAGACUUCUCACAUCCUUUAAAUAGACUUGAAUCCACCAUUGAUUUGUGAGAAAUGUCUGCAUUAGCUCCUCUGUCUGAGGAAACAUACCUCACAGCAAGAAGGAGAGAAGCAACCCAUUUUAUAAAAGCGUGUUGCAUUUGGAAAUAGAGUAGUCGAAAGGUGUAGGGAUGAAGACUUAAGGAUAUCAAUCGUUUUCCUCUUCAAAUGGGUGGAUCCACAGAAAGUAGAUAUUGCUUAAAGGAAAGGUAUCCUGACCUACAUGUCAAGACUGUCUUAUCUGAAGCCUUUGUUUGCCAUUCCUAGUGUCAGGCAUUCGAAUUGAUCCUGUUGAUCCGGAAUAAUCCAUCAAGGUUAAAGAGCUAAGCCUGCGGUCACUCUCUGCAGAUAACAGCAGCUCACAAGGGCCAUCGUUUCAGGAGAUAGGAGCAAGCAGUAUAUCUAUACUGUGAAUCACACAUACUAGAAAUAACAUUGAAACAGUAGAAGCAAUUGGAUGAUGCCUACCCCUCUUCUAGAUGGCAGAAUCUCUGAUAUCCUUUCAUGUUCACAAACCUUUCAGACUCUGCACUACUCCUAUUAAGCCCGGAAACAAUACAUGGAAGAGUUGACAUGAGUGCAUACAUGGUGUAUCCUUCAGAUAGAGUCAAAUUUGCAUGGGAAUCACUUCAAAAACCUAAAGCCACUCAUGGUAACUCAUGUACGAAUGUGCUCACAGCAGCAGGACAUGAGAGCACACACUGCUGGGCCAAUGCAUGGUAAGGAUCUGGCCUUUGGCUGCAGCUGGUUGAUUGCAUUUAGAUGAGAGGAGAGGGCAGCUGGGUUUAGGUUGAGAAAACAGCCUUUUCCCCUGCUGUGAUUAAGGGUUAGGCAUGGAUCAGCCUGAUCAUCUGAGAAAGCUGCAUGAAUUUAACUGAAAAGAACCGACUGACUGGAACUGUAUCAUAUGUUACGCGUAUCUUUUGAUUUCUUAGGGUAAUCCAACCAUUAACCCCAAGAUGGUCCAACAAAGAAAUAGAGCCAAAUGUGCAUUCUGGAGACCAAUCAAUUGGGCUAACCACUGACCCAUUUACAAUGGUAAAAUUGGAUUUAGGAAAAAGAUGAAUGGAGGAGCUCAGCUGCAGGAUCUCAAUAUUUGGUCCUACAUGAUCAACAUUUUCAGAAAACUUUCUUUAUCCUCACUGACUGAAGAGCAACUGUGUAGAUAAACUGUUGUGGAACUUUGUUGGAUACAACUUAUAAAAGAGGAAAAGUAAAAAACAAGAAUGUACACUGCAAAGCCUUAAAUCGAAAGAAUAGGAUGAAAAGUAAAAUCUUAGCCAAAGCAUAGACAUACCACAGUGCAUAUUUGUUCUUUAUC